CAGAAGCCUGCUCCAGCACUGGCUUCCCACAGGGUCACAGCCUCCUUCAGGCAUCCCCCUGUUCCGGUGUGAGUGUGGGCUCCCCCCUGUGCUGCACAUGAAUAUCUGUUCCUCUGUUAACCUUCAUGGGCUGCAGGGGACAGCCUGCCUCACCACGGGCUGCACAUACCCUUGCAUGGUGACAGUUGCCAGUUGUGUCAAAAAAGGUGGCACGACUACUCCAGCUAAAUGCAGUACUCCUUUCUGUAGGCUUUUCAUUUGGCCUUUGAGAACAGAUUACUUCCUCAGUGACUGAUACUCAAUUCCUGCAAACCAAAGCAUGAGAUGCUUGAAAAUUUAUCACUUGUCCUGUGUGAUUCACCCUCUUCCAUUCCUUUUCAGUGACUCAGUAUUUAUGUUCCUACUGGAAAGAUGCUAAGUGAGGAACUAACUAUAGAGGAAGUUUUCACAAAGAAGAAUGCUAACUUAGUUGCUAAAUUAUAUCCACCUAAUAAAAUGUAGCUCUCUGACACUUGCCCUCAUUAAAAGUAAUCUUCAUUUGU
Pezoporus flaviventris is the source of this 542-nucleotide long non-coding RNA. RefSeq lists it as uncharacterized. The record is from RefSeq and is a predicted model, not a curated record. Lineage: Eukaryota; Metazoa; Chordata; Aves; Psittaciformes; Psittacidae. The transcript has 2 exons.